AGCGAACGCUGGCGGCAGGCCUAACACAUGCAAGUCGAACGAACCUUUCGGGGUUAGUGGCGGACGGGUGAGUAACACGUGGGAACGUGCCUUUAGGUUCGGAAUAACUCAGGGAAACUUGUGCUAAUACCGAAUGUGCCCUUCGGGGGAAAGAUUUAUCGCCUUUAGAGCGGCCCGCGUCUGAUUAGCUAGUUGGUUGAGGUAAUGGCUCACCAAGGCGACGAUCAGUAGCUGGUCUGAGAGGAUGAUCAGCCACAUUGGGACUGAGACACGGCCCAAACUCCUACGGGAGGCAGCAGUGGGGAAUCUUGCGCAAUGGGCGAAAGCCUGACGCAGCCAUGCCGCGUGAAUGAUGAAGGUCUUAGGAUUGUAAAAUUCUUUCACCGGGGACGAUAAUGACGGUACCCGGAGAAGAAGCCCCGGCUAACUUCGCG
Molecule: ribosomal RNA, 434 nt
Filed under: uncultured bacterium
Lineage: Bacteria
Description: partial 16S ribosomal RNA
Rfam family: Bacterial small subunit ribosomal RNA
Source: RNAcentral